CGCAUGGUAGGAGAGCGUUCCGUAAGCCUGCGAAGGUGCCUUGUAAAGGGUGCUGGAGGUAUCGGAAGUGCGAAUGCUGACAUGAGUAGCGAUAAAGGGGGUGAAAGGCCCCCUCGCCGUAAGCCCAAGGUUUCCUACGCAACGUUCAUCGGCGUAGGGUGAGUCGGCCCCUAAGGCGAGGCAGAAAUGCGUAGCUGAUGGGAAGCAGGUCAAUAUUCCUGCACCAUUGUUAGAUGCGAUGGGGGGACGGAUCGCGGAAGGUUGUCCGGGUGUUGGAAGUCCCGGUCGCUGCAUUGGAGAAGGCACUUAGGCAAAUCCGGGUGCGCAAUUCAAGGGUGUGGCGCGAGCUCCUUCGGGAGCGAAGCAAUUGGAAGUGGUUCCAAGAAAAGCCUCUAAGCUUCAGUCUAACGAUGACCGUACCGCAAACCGACACAGGUGGGCGAGAUGAGUAUUCUAAGGCGCUUGAGAGAACUCGGGAGAAGGAACUCGGCAAAUUGGUACCGUAACUUCGGGAUAAGGUACGCCCUUGUAGCUUGACUGGCCUGCGCCAGGAGGGUGAAGGGGUUGCAAUAAACUGGUGGCUGCGACUGUUUAAUAAAAACACAGCACUCUGCAAACACGAAAGUGGACGUAUAGGGUGUGACGCCUGCCCGGUGCCGGAAGAUUAAAUGAUGGGGUGCAAGCUCUUGAUUGAAGUCCCGGUAAACGGCGGCCGUAACUAUAACGGUCCUAAGGUAGCGAAAUUCCUUGUCGGGUAAGUUCCGACCUGCACGAAUGGCGUAACGAUGGCCACACUGUCUCCUCCCGAGACUCAGCGAAGUUGAAGUGUUUGUGAUGAUGCAAUCUACCCGCGGCUAGACGGAAAGACCCCAUGAACCUUUACUGUAGCUUUGCAUUGGACUUUGAACCGAUCUGUGUAGGAUAGGUGGGAGGCUAUGAAACCGGAACGCUAGUUUCGGUGGAGCCGUCCUUGAAAUACCACCCUGGUUUGUUUGAGGUUCUAACCUUGGCCCGUGAUCCGGGUCGGGGACAGUGCAUGGUAGGCAGUUUGACUGGGGCGGUCUCCUCCCAAAGCGUAACGGAGGAGUACGAAGGUACGCUAGGUACGGUCGGAAAUCGUGCUGAUAGUGCAAUGGCAUAAGCGUGCUUAACUGCGAGACCGACAAGUCGAGCAGGUGCGAAAGCAGGUCAUAGUGAUCCGGUGGUUCUGUAUGGAAGGGCCAUCGCUCAACGGAUAAAAGGUACUCUGGGGAUAACAGGCUGAUACCGCCCAAGAGUUCAUAUCGACGGCGGUGUUUGGCACCUCGAUGUCGGCUCAUCUCAUCCUGGGGCUGUAGCCGGUCCCAAGGGUAUGGCUGUUCGCCAUUUAAAGAGGUACGUGAGCUGGGUUUAAAACGUCGUGAGACAGUUUGGUCCCUAUCUGCCGUGGGCGUUGGAUAUUUGAAGGGGGCUGCUCCUAGUACGAGAGGACCGGAGUGGACGAACCUCUGGUGUACCGGUUGUCACGCCAGUGGCAUCGCCGGGUAGCUAUGUUCGGAAGAGAUAACCGCUGAAAGCAUCUAAGCGGGAAACUCGCCUUAAGAUGAGAUAUCCCUGGGGACUAGAUCCCCUUGAAGGGUCGUUCGAGACCAGGACGUUGAUAGGUCAGGUGUGUAAGCGCAGUAAUGCGUUCAGCUAACUGAUACUAAUUGCCCGUAAGGCUUGAUCCUAUAACA
RNAcentral lists this ribosomal RNA (1715 nucleotides) under Burkholderia cepacia. Its description in RNAcentral is "bacterial LSU rRNA". It matches the Rfam family "Bacterial large subunit ribosomal RNA", at positions 1222 to 2925 of the family's 2925-position model. The record is from RNAcentral. Lineage: Bacteria; Pseudomonadati; Pseudomonadota; Betaproteobacteria; Burkholderiales; Burkholderiaceae.